UAAUCAGUAGCUGGGUGAAUUGC
This 23-nucleotide non-coding RNA is filed under the name Cricetulus griseus (Chinese hamster). The record is from RNAcentral. Lineage: Eukaryota; Metazoa; Chordata; Mammalia; Rodentia; Cricetidae.